This 80-nucleotide unclassified non-coding RNA is filed under the name Ureibacillus acetophenoni. Lineage: Bacteria; Bacillati; Bacillota; Bacilli; Caryophanales; Caryophanaceae. The record is from RNAcentral.
GAUCGCCGUGUGCGGUGAAAGCCGCCUGCACGGUGAAGGCUCGAUACGAAAGUCACAUUUAUGUGAUAUAAGACGAGAAU